AAACACUGCACUAUCACCCUGCAGCCCAAGACUGGUUGCUCACUGAAGCUAAGCAGGGUUGAGCCUGGUCAGUACCUGGAUGGGAGACCUCCUGGGAAAACUGUGUUGCUGC
This 112-nucleotide ribosomal RNA is filed under the name Sinocyclocheilus rhinocerous. Lineage: Eukaryota; Metazoa; Chordata; Actinopteri; Cypriniformes; Cyprinidae. The record is from RNAcentral.